Triplophysa dalaica is the source of this 6014-nucleotide RNA transcript. It is a transcript of the gene named sorting nexin-5, with no coding region annotated. Lineage: Eukaryota; Metazoa; Chordata; Actinopteri; Cypriniformes; Nemacheilidae. The record is from RefSeq and is a predicted model, not a curated record. The transcript has 14 exons.
CAAGCUACAUUGUUUUCUAGUGGAAUAUGCAUACACGGAUCCAAUAAACUCACACAUUUUAUAUGCUCUUGAAAAGAGGACACAAAUGUGAGUAUAUAUUGGAUAAAAUAAACACACAUACAAACGAAUCACAGGACCACAACACGGUGACCUUUGGCUCGAAGGAUAUCCUGUCUGCACAAGAAUGUGCAAGCAUUUGAGUUCUUGUGCCAACAAGAGAGUGAGGACGGUGGUUGAAUUUUAAAAUCCGAGUGUAACUCACAGUUAUUACAUGUGUCACUAUUUUUUCUUUGGAAUCACAUAUUAGAAGUUGGAAGCCAAUUGAAUGCAAGGGAGAUGGACAGUUCAAACGCAGAAGCAGAAUUAAGUGUUACUGCAAGCAGCAUUAGGAUCACUGAUGUGACAAAGGAUGGAGAUAUUCUGACUUUUGCCAUCACUUCCCAGAAAUUUUAUAGUAGUGGUGGUGUGUGUGUCUUUCGUACAUAUGAGGACUUUGACUGGCUUCAGCAGAAUUUUUUCUCUCAAGAAAAUGUUCCUGGACUUCAAGGAGUCAUAUUUCCCCCUUUACCACCUAAAGCACUACCAUCCCUGUUAAACACAGCAUCUAAAUCACUCAAACAACUUGGUUUCUUGGCUCUCGGGCAUGAUUGGCAGAGUUAUUGUAAAGCGUUGGAGUUUUAUCUCCAGCAGGUGGCGACCCACCCAAUACUCAGCAAAUGCAAGGCGCUGGACAGCUUCCUUACAAAAUCAGAGUCUCCGGGAAAACAGCGAGGCAGAAAAGGUAUAUUAAAUCGCCUCAGUCAGGCUGUGGAAGGGAUAAGAAAGGAAAGUCACAGGGACGUGGAUGACUUCUUUCAGAAAGAGAGACAUAAAAACACAAAUCGUGCAGCUUUGUCAAAGGUUGCAACAGAGAAAAUACUUGACGUUGUGUUGACUGAGCAAAAGCUCUCUUUGGCUUGUGGGCAUUUUUCCACUUGUCUUCAUCUCUGUGUAAAUCAGGAUGAUGAAGCUGCUGUUGCAUUCUCCAAGAUUUGCUUGAAGCUGUCAGAUAUAGUUGAAGCAGUAAUGAGAAAUUUUGAAAAAGUUGCCAAUAACAACAUCUCGACUCUUGGUUUGGGGCUGGAUUUGGAGGCUCGCUAUGAGGAAGCAGAGAAAGAAAUGCUUUUCAGAAGAACUUGUAAAUUGAUCGAGCUGGAAACAGUUAAGAAGAACACAGAAAAAGCCAAGGCCAAUAAAAGAGAUGCGAUCGCCCACCCCUAGCCUUCGCUCAUGACUACGAACAGAACGAAUUCAAUGAAUUCUUCUUCUUCUACAUUGCCGGAUCUACGAAGUGUUGCAGCGGAUCGUCCCUACCUGCGGCGACCUUCCCCUGGGCGUCUCAGCGGUUCCGGAGGUGUUAGAGAUUUUUUUUCUAAAAAGUCCUUUUCAGGACUGACUGAGCAAUCUCCAGCGCGGCAUGUCCCGCAUUUCUCUUGGGUGCGGCACCCUCAUCGAGGAGGGGGAUGGACACGAUCGCUUCGUUAGGCGUCUGGGCAUCCAGCACGCUGAAGCAGCAUUCGUUGACACAUCUGCCCGCACUGCGGGCAGAUUGUCAUUCAGAAGUUGCGGUCACGGUGUUCGCCUUCCUACGGGAACCAGCCACCAUUUCGUCUGCUACCUGGGCUGUGACAUCUGUGGCUACGGCCCUGAUGACCACCUACGUAGCAGCGUUAGUGAUAUGGGGAACUCUGCGAACGUAAACCCGCCAGCCAAGUGCUCACGGGCCGAUCGCACCCUGAUUCGCUCUACUAAACGUUCCCCAACCGGCAGUGGCAUACCGUCCGGAUCCUCACGCACACACUCGGAAACGAUGUGUGACGUAGAUGAGAUGUCGCUCGCAGCAUCGGAGGGAGACUGUCAUCCGACUCUGACGAAUCCAAGCUCCACCCCCAGCCGUCGAGUUCAGGAUGAAGCAGAAGUGAUGUCAUCCAUGCUAACCCGGGGAUGCGUGGUUCCUGAGGUCAGGUGCCAUGUUUACCCGGAGGUGCAUGAGGAGCUGUGUAAAACUUGGAGCGCUCCACUCACGGACCGUUCCAGUGAAACCAGCUCCGGCUCCCUUACUUCCCUCGAUGGUGGGGCAGCCAAGGAGUACGUCGAUAUCCUGUGCCGCGGACGGCUACCACCUGGGGUAGAAUCGGCCACACCUACCGUCCAAAGCACGUAAGACUUCGGCAUCACUGGUGUUGAAGACUUGCGAUGCAGCGGGCCAGGCUGCCUCCUCUCUCUACGCCAUGGCCAUCCCGUAGGUCCGCCAGGCCAGGGCGUGGAGAGAGCCCCACGAGGGUAAGGCUGACCCGGGUAUAAUGAAGGAUCUCCGUGCCGCCACUGACAGCGCUCUAUGGGCGACUAAGGUGGCGGCGCGGGCCCUGGGUCGGACGAUGUCCACGAUAGUGGUCCAGGAGAGACACCCCCGGCUAUGCCUUGUGCAGAAGAGUGACACCAAGGAAGUCCGCUUUCUUGAUGCACUCAUCUCGCAGGGUGGGUUGUUGGUAACACCAUCGAGGACUGCGCUCAGCAGUUUUUGAUGGUGUAGCAGACCGUGGCAAUUAGCCAAAUUUUUUCACGCCGCGCGGCCUCCGAGAUCUCAAGUGACGUCUGCCUCCCUGCAACCCAGGACCCCUUCGACAUCGGCUCCGGUUCCUGUGCCCCCACAGGCGGCACCCCGGAAGCAGAGGUCGAGGGGGAAACCUCAACCCCGUCAACAACCUUCUUCCGAGAAGGGGCACUGACGGGAAGACCAAAGGGAGAAAAACAUCGGGCCCGAACCUUCACAGCCACGGCUCUGAUCGGUCGGUACGGGACGAUUCCUGCCUCGUCACCAAAGCCGGGCCCUUUUCAGGGCUUGGCGCCCACUUACUUGCAGAGUUUUCUGUUCUCCCUGGGUGUACUUGCAGCCUAUCGCACACUCCACUGGACUGUGCUCGGCGAACCGACCUCACACCCUGGCGAGGCUUGAGGUCGUACACAUACGACGGCUGUCACCACUCUCAAACCGACAGUGCGUGCCAUUGUCCCGCCAGGCAGGUAAAAAGGCGGAGCCAACCUUCCCUCCGGGGACCCCCGCGACAUGGGUAGCUCCGCCAGCCGACGAACCCCCCCAUGGGAAUGAUGAAGCAGACCGUCCCCUUGGUCACCCUGUCACAGUCCCUGGGAGCUUGAGAACUGCCCACACUGUCUCGCUGGCUAAUGAGGGCGGUCCGUCUUGGUUACUCGAUCCAGUUCGCCAGAGACUCUCCCAAGUUUUGGGGCAUCAUCUCUCCCUCUGUCAGAGGCAGGGACGCCUCCGUACUUCGGGUAGAGGUCACCACCCUUCUGGCAAAACAGGCAUCGAGUUCGUCCCUCAAAACCAAGAUGUUCAGUGGGUCACGAUCCGCACUUCACCGUUCCGAAGAAACAGGGCGGGUUGCCCCCAAAGGUCUGCGUACCCUGAACAGAGCAUCUUCACAAGCUGCCGUUCAGGGUGCUCACACACAGGGCGUCCUGACAUCUAUCGGGUGUCAGGAUUUGUUCGUGGCAAUCGACCUGAAGGACGCUUACUUUCAUGUCUCGAUCCUCCUCGACACCGGCCGUUCUAACGGUUCGCAUGCGAGAGGCGGGCAUAUCAGUACAGAAUCCUCCCUUUCGGUCUGUCCUUGUCUCCACGGUCUUCACGAGAUCGUGGAAACCGCCCUUUCUCCCAGGGAGGAAGGCGAGCGGGUACUAAACUACUAGCCUAUCUUGGCACACUCGUGAGAUAUGUUAUGUACACAAAGGGACCUGGUGCCCCGGCACCUAGAUCGAUUGGGACUCCAGGUCAACCAAGAGAGGGGCAAGCUCUCCCCAGUGCAGAGCAUCCUCUUUCUAGGUAUGGAACUCAACUCUGUCACCACGUCGGCGCACCUGUCUGCAGUAUGCGCCCAACCAGUGUUGAACUGUCUGAAAUGAACAUUUUAGGCAGGCAGCGGUCCCCCUGAAAUAAUUCAGAGGCUCCUGGGACACAUGGCGUCCUCGCGGGUUAAUACCCCUUGAGUUGAUGCACAUGAGACCGCUCCAACACUGGUUUCAGAGUCGAGUUCCGAGGAGAGCGUGGCACACCGGCAGCAGGCGCAUGGUGAUGACGCCCUGCUUCCGACGCACCAUAACCCCUAGUCUUCCAUGACUUUUUCGACGGACUCAGGUCCCUCUGGGCAGGUUAUGAGACAGGUCGUGGUGACGACUGAAGUCUCCCUGCAGGGGUGCUGUGCAGUGUGUAACGGGCAUGCGGGCGGGGCGUUGGACGAACCCCCGCCUGUGCUGGCAUAUCAAUUGCCAAGAGUUGUGGGCUGUGCUAUUUGCACUGAGCAGGCUACGGCCUCUCGUGCGAGUCAAGCACGUGCUGGUCCGAGGACAGCACUACAGCUGUAGCGUACACAGAUCGUCAGGGUGGCGUUCGCUCACAGCAGCUAACACAACUUGCUCAACGCCUCCUCCGGUGGAGUCAACAGGUGACCCGUUCCCUGCGGGCCACACACACCCCGGGCAAACUGAACUAGACAGCCGACGUGCUUUCUUGCCAGUUUAUGCCUCGUGGAGAGUGACGACUCCACCCCCGCGCAGUCCAGCUCAUUUGGAGGCUGUUCGGGUAGGCCCAGGUAAACCUGUUCGCCUCCCGUAACACCACCAUUUGCCCGCCUGGUAUUCCCUGCCCUCGGCACGGAUAUCCUGGCGCACAGCUGACCGCGGGAUGGGCGGAAGCACACCUUCCCCCCCAGGAGCCUCCUUUGCACAGACGCUGUGCAAGGUCAGGGAGCAGGAGCACCAAGUGUUAUUGGUUACACCACUCCGGGCUAACCGCACUUGGCCUCAGAGCUGAUGCUCUGGACAGCGACUCCCCCUGAACCAUUCCCCUGACAGAGGACCUGCUCUAUCAGGGGAGGGACACGUUCUGGCAUCCCAGAUCAUACCUCUGGAACUCCCAUGUCUGGUCUCUAGACGGGACCAGAAGAUCCUGAGAUGGCUACUCCCACUCUAUGGCAGAGACCAUCACCCAGGCUAGGGCCCCAUCUACUAGGCGGUUACACGCCUCUAGACGGCGCCUUUUCUCGUCCUGGUGUCUCUCUCAAUGAGAAAGACCCACUGAGGUGCUUGAUCAGGAUUGUGUUUUCCUUCUUAAGACUACUCCAAGAACGAGACCAUACCUAUAUCCACCAUAUUCCUCCCCACGGGUAGGAGGUGGCUUCUGCAGCGCUUCUCUGAUUAAGAGUUGCGCUCACACGGUGUAACGCGGUCACACGGAGCCCGGCAUGCAAAUUUCAUUCGCCAAAUUUCAUUGGCCUUUUCUAUAGUAGUCAGAGUUGAUUGGUUCUCAAGGGCGAACCCCAUCUGUCGUUCUCGACACAACGUCUCGUUCCCUCCAUCAGGGAACUGAGGUUACAUACGUAACCAAGACGUUUUACAGUGCAUUUUAUAAUAUCCUAGUGAAUUUAUUUUAUAGCAGCAGUUUGGGCAGGACACUUUUCCAACAUGACAAGUCAAAGUUCGACUUGUUUCCAUUUCUGUGUUUAUAUAAAGAGAAUGGAAAUUUCGGGGUUAAUCAAUAACUGCAGAACGUAUACAGUGUGUGUUUUCAGCUGUAUCUACAGAGCACAGAUAAUGCCACACCCAAAGAGUCUAAUGCAACUUAUUAGAGUUGGCAAAAUGAACAGACAGAUGGAUAGUUGUGAAAGUGAAGGGAAAGUGGAGAAAGAGUCAGUCAUAAAAUCUCUACAAUAAACUGUUGUGGUAUACUUCCACCCUGCUAACCAUGACCUUUCUCUUCUUGCAUUUCUUGGCACAAAAAUGUUACAUGUGUGGUUGAACAAAGUACAGAGGGUGACGCAACAAAGUACAAAUGGAAAUGAUCAUGUUUUCUGUGUAGAUGGAGGAGGUUCAGAAAGCUACAGAGAAAGAAUUCUCCCUCAUCUCAUCUGUGGCUAAACAGGAGAUUGAGCGCUUCCAUAGCUCCAGAGUGACUGUGC